GUCUCUUUGUAAAAUAUAAAUAGAGAGUCGGGCCUGCUCGGUGAAUAAGUUUUUAACAGCUGCGGUAUUUUAACUGUACUAAGGUAGCAUAAUAAUUUGCCUUAUAAUUUGAGGCUAGAAUGAAUGGUUUGACGAAGGUUAAUCUGUCUCCAUCUUAUUUUUUAGAAGUUAAUUUUUAAAGUGAAAAAGCUUAAAUCUUUCAAAGGGACGAGAAGACCCUAAUGAGCUUAUAAUUUUAUUAUCAUUAUUUAAAACAUUUAGGUGGUGGUAUAUAAAUUUUAAUUGGGGUGAUUAAGGAAUAAAUUGUGUAUAGUAACUUCCUUAAAUUAGGUAUUUGUAGAUAAAGUAACCAAUGUAAUAUUGCUUAUAGUAUAGUUACCAUAGGGAUAACAGCGUAAUUUGUUUAGAGAGUUCUUAUUGAAAAACGAGAUUGCGACCUCGAUGUUGGAUUAAAGUAACCCUAAGGUGCAGAAGCUUUAGUAGGUAAAUCUGUUCGAUUUUUAAUACUUUACA
RNAcentral lists this ribosomal RNA (513 nucleotides) under Ommastrephes brevimanus. RNAcentral describes it as "partial 16S ribosomal RNA". It matches the Rfam family "Bacterial large subunit ribosomal RNA", at positions 1825 to 2600 of the family's 2925-position model. The record is from RNAcentral. Lineage: Eukaryota; Metazoa; Mollusca; Cephalopoda; Oegopsida; Ommastrephidae.